Molecule: unclassified non-coding RNA, 3130 nt
Filed under: Hevea brasiliensis (rubber tree)
Lineage: Eukaryota; Viridiplantae; Streptophyta; Magnoliopsida; Malpighiales; Euphorbiaceae
Source: RNAcentral
AAAAGACUCAAUUUCAACAAGCUAGCUCGUACCGUGAAAUUUUCAUUUGGUAAUGGAAAGGGUUCCAUUGCAAACCCUGUUUCACUUCCCCCCAGUUCUCCAAUCUCCCAGCAAUAAGAGAUGGAAAGAUGCUAGACUAUGGACUUUUAUGGCCAAUUUGCUUUACUAGCAGCGAAAAGAUUGGCAAGAAGAGGGCUUUUGAAGGCUAUUGGAUUCAAUACAGCUAUUAUGUGCUUGUCCUGUUUUUGCUGCAUCAAUGCUACAACAGAAUGAACCUCAAUUUAUUCGGUAAAUUGUUGUAUGUGUUGGCUCUAUUUCCUUUCAUUGUUACCUUUUUGUUCCUUUAUAAGUUCAGAAGAUGGUUCUUUUCCAUAAAUAAACUAUGCUAGAACUCAUAUGAGAUUUUGCGACUAUGAAUGUAUAAGUUCAAGAUACUGAAGCUUGAUAGUGGAGUUACAAGGGAGGGAACAAAAUACGAAUUGGAUACUUAAACAAUGUGCUAUGGUCUUGGCCAUGACCUGAUACAUCUUCACAUUCCCCGGCAGCCUGAACCACCUCAGAAAUUGCUUGCUGCUACACUCAGACUAUGCCAUCUGCCAUUCUCCUCCUCUUACUCAACUUUCUUCCCGCCACAGAUGUGAAUUACUAAGCUGUUUUGCAUUAAGUUCUUGAAAUAGCAACACAAGAAUCCAAUAGCAAUAACAAGCAAAACUACAUUCUUAAUCUUCUCAUCUUUUUUUUCAUGCCUGAGAGAUUUCAGUUUCAAUCUCUUCAAACAAUUGAAUAGUGUUGGAGCUAGAUUAACAAAUUUGCAGUUGCAGGAAUCAGGAAUGCAAGAAGCACAGAUUGAUGAUCUUUGAUCAAAGCUUGAAUUAAGACUGGAAUGAUCAAGCACAAGCAAUCCAAACUUCACAAGACUGGUCCUGAAAAAGCUUCACAGCAGUGAAGUAAAGAAGAAAAAAAUUAAAAUGUUUUGAAUUCUAAGGCACCAGCAGUUAUAGAGGAAAUGUAUUUCUUGGUUGAAAAAUUGAUACUUUUAUUUCAUUCAAAAUGAAGUACAUUUACAAAAUUUCUCAACUACCAGAAAAAAAUACAACCUUUACAACUGAAUUCAAAUUUUUUAAAAAUAACAGCUAACACCAACUUAUUCCAAGAUUUUCUGUUGCUAUUCAUACUUAAAAAAAUCCUUUGAUGUUGGAGCUAAAAUGCCAAUACUUCAACAAAUAGGAAACAGAAGUCCAGUCCUUGAUUUGAAUCCACAACUUGAAAGAAGAUAAUCGAUUGAAGAUUUUUGGAAAUAAUUGCCAUCAUUUCUUUUCUUUCCAUUGGAAGGAUUUUGGAAUCAGUGUCAACAAAUUUGUAACAAACCAGUAAAACUUUAGCUACUUUUCUGAGGAAACAGGAAGAACACACCUCUGAAGUCAUGAAGAAGCGAUCCUAAUAUCACACCACUCGGAAGAUCUAGAUAGACUAUACACUAUCAUAUAGCUGCGCAGAAGAUAAACAGCAAGAAAAGAAGUUCAGCUGCUUCAAUAAUCAAACAGAUGAUCCAACACACCUUCCUGAGUAUACUCAUUGGAAUACAAGACCAAGAUUGCUUCAUCUACUUAUCAACAAAAAUAUAGAGCAGUUAAAUUGGAAAAUAAAAGAGAAGUAAACAAGUUAUUUUAAACAAAAUAAAAUAUAAGAUAAGAAAGAAUGCACCUGCAUUCGACUUUGCGUUGCAUCUUCUGACUAGAUCUUCGCUUUCAGUGGGUUUACUGAUUCCUUUCGCAUUUGAAACAGGCAAGCUUCCUGCCGUGUAGAGGAGUUAGAGAUGCAAACAUAAUAGUGGUACCAACUAAAAGAUCAUCCAAUCAAACAUAAUCAAGAAUUAAACCAAAUUGUAUUUGCAAGAAUUAUUAGUAAAAGUCUAUUUCUGGUAGUGCAACCCUUUUGUAAUUAUGAUCUUCAGAAUUACAUUUCUAACCACAAAAUCCAAGUGCAUUAGAGCAAGCCUACUUUUCUAAUUCCACCACACUUACUUAGAGUUGAAAAUGUGAUGGUUCAGCUAUAUUUCAACAGUAAUAAGGACAUAAGAACAGCUAUACCUCUUUGAAGAUGGUGACGCAUAAAGACUAAUGGCCAGCACUCUUGUUCUUAGCCGGAAAUCUGAUAGCAUUUCCCAUCGGAAUUUCAUAUCUUCUUUGGUUCUGCAAAUUUACUGCAGCUAAAUAUUACUUAAACAAGGUAAUUGAGUUCUCUCAUUCACCCUUGUAAACUCUUGACAUUUCAGGGCAUAACAAAUUAUGCAGGGAAAAUUUUCUAACAGCUAAUCUACAAGUGAUUUGCUAAUCUCCUUUUUCUUUAUUUUGAUUUCAUUCGGGAAGUCUUUAACUUUUGCCUGCAUGAACAUAACAUUGUUCAUAUACCAACCCAUCUUUAAAGAUGUUGGGAUGCCAAUAUAAAGUUGAAAAUUUACCAUCUAAUUGAAGUAAAAUGCAUCAUCUACUCUUCCAAUAAAACAAUUCAUUGCAUGCGGAGAAUAAGGGAAAGAAAGGAAAGAGACAGAGAGGAGAAAAAAAAGAACAAACAGACAAAUCAGAACCCAAAAUGAGACAAAAUUAAACAAACUACUUCCUCUCCCCCCACACAUUUGAAUCUAACUGCAAAGUAAAACCCAGAAGAGCAGGAAGCGAGAGAAGGAACAUACAAGAUCGGUUUUGAAGGAGGGUUAUGGAGGAGUGAUUCAAGGCGAUCAAGCUUGACUCCGACUUCCAAAAGCUUGGAUUGAGCAUUUUCUCUAAGCCUGUGUUCUUGUGCAAGGCCCUGGUUUCUUGAUCCUGCUUUCUGUGUCCUCCAUCAACCUGGACACUUCUUGUGCUUCUCUUAUCCAUGCAUCUACGGCUAGUGAGUGUUCAGUCAUCUCUUUGAGAUCAAUCAACAGAGAACACUCACUUCCAAGUUCCACCUCCCUCUCUUAGGUUUCAUUGGCCAUUUGCUAAUCAGAUAAGGACAAAGAAUGGAGUUUGAGCCCAUUUGAUUAUCCAGCUAAGAUGGUAUACUAAUUAAUGAUAAUUAUCCUCAUCUCAAGACACAAAUGGCAAGUAGGAUUUCUUUUAUUUGCAUCAGUGAUGAGCCUAAACUUUGU